CCUACGGGUGGCAGCAGUGAGGAAUAUUGGUCAAUGGCCGGAAGGCUGAACCAGCCAAGCCGCGUGAAGGACGAAGGUGCCAAGCAUUGUAAACUUCUUUUGUCAAGGGACAAAAUCAGGCUCGAGAGCCUGACCGAGGGUACUUGAAGAAAAAGCAUCGGCUAACUCCGUGCCAGCAGCCGCGGUAAUACGGAGGAUGCGAGCGUUAUCCGGAUUUAUUGGGGUUAAGGGGUGCGUGGGCGGGCUGUUCAGUCAGCGGUAAAAGCCCGGGGGUCAACCCCGGCGAGCCGUUGAAACUGGCGGUCUUGAGAUGUCGAGAGGUAUGUGGAAUGCGCAGUGUAGCGGUGAAAUGCUUAGAUAUUGCGCAGAACUCCGAUUGCGAAGGCAGCAUACCGGAGGCGAUCUGACGCUGAGGCACGAAAGCGUGGGUAUCGAACAGGAUUAGAUACCCCAGUAGUC
Molecule: ribosomal RNA, 459 nt
Filed under: uncultured bacterium
Lineage: Bacteria
Description: partial 16S ribosomal RNA
Rfam family: Bacterial small subunit ribosomal RNA
Source: RNAcentral